UUUCCUACUAAAAAUCAAGUAAUAUUUCAUGCUAAUAUAUCCAGACUGAUUCAAUAGCCUAAUGAAUAGUAAAAAGUGAGAUACGUUGACCUAGGUACAGAAGUGACAUCAGAUCUUUGGAACCUUCAGCCUCUUGUUAGAUAAAGGUAUUGUGGAGGCAAAGCUCUGUUUCCAAGGCGAUAAGGAGAAAUGAAACCAACAUAAUUGUUGCAUCCUAGAUCUCAGCUAAAGUGGAGCCUCAAUUUCUCAAGGAAAGAGAUGGAAAUAACCUCACUGAAAUAGAUUUUUCAGGUGUUCAUAACUUUGGAAGACCUUUUGAGCUGAUUUUUUCCAGGCUCAGCAUCAGUUUCAUGGUAACUUAUUUGAGAAGUUCACGCAAAAUAUUGUGUCUCCAUUUUCAUUGAGAAGACAAUGGAAACAAAUACUGUUGAUGAAUGCAGGGUAUGCAAAAAGGUUGAAAAUGCUGCUGGCUGUAUAAUGAAGAUAUGGAGGACCUGCAAAGGAUUGGUUGUUGGGGCUUGAGUGCUCAGUCCUUGA
Caretta caretta (loggerhead turtle) is the source of this 537-nucleotide long non-coding RNA. RefSeq lists it as uncharacterized. Lineage: Eukaryota; Metazoa; Chordata; Testudines; Cheloniidae. The record is from RefSeq and is a predicted model, not a curated record.